GCGACCCGAGGCCGUUUUCCCGGGGAGGCUCGUCCCCACCUCUUGCGUCCGGGCGCGUCGUCCCCGUCCUCUCACGAGCGACGCGAGACGAGCGCUCCGCCGCCGCGCCACCUGCUCCGCUUCCCUGCUCGCGCUGCCGCUCCUCCUCCGCUCCUCGGCUCCGCUCGGUGCUGCUGCUCCGCCCUCGCCCCUCACCCCCGUCCAGAUGCCACCCCUGGAGCUCCCUGUUGGUGACGCUGCUUUGCCUCCGCACCCCUCAACGUUCGAUCUGCGAUGACGCCACCACCUCGGCCGCCUCCACAACCACCACGGUGGCUCCACUUCAUCUUCCUCCUCGUCAUAUGCAAGUUCUUCCUCUCCUCUAUUAUAUUGCCUAGGGUUUGAUCUCCUCUUCCUGAUUCCUAGAUCUUGUAUAGACGACCUUGGUGAUUUCUCGUCUGAUUGGCUGUCAUCUCCAAGAUUCACAACCUGCUAAUCACUUCACUCGACAUUGUUGGCCCAGAGGACAGAGCAAGGGCGACCCUGGAGAGAGUGAUGUCGCAGGCACUGCUUGGCUGUAGUAGGCGUUAACUAUCCAAUCAAUUAGCAGAGAAUGCUGGAUUGGCUUAGGUCUGUCCAGCUCCAGCAUUUAUGUCCAGUCUAACGAAGCUAUGUAGUUAGUUGUCAGCUGAAAACUGCAGGAUUAUAACUGAUCAUAUUUUCAGACAUUGUCUUCCUGGUCAUCCUAUAGUAUUGAAGAGGUUAAUUCGGCAGGACCUGGAACGCGUUUCUUCCAACUUUCAGUAUACAAGGACAGGAACUUAGUGCAACAGGUUAUUGGAAGGGCUGAAAAGGCCAGCUACAAGGUACUGACAGUUGAUGAUCCAUGGCUUGGCCGCAGAGAAGCUGAUGUCAAGAACAGGGUUUCUGGUUCAACCAAAAAUUGACUUGUCAGUUAUGCAUGAUGGUUUGAAUGCAUGGAUGAAGAAGCAAGAUUGUUCAAGUAUCCUUUUCUCAUAUCUUUAUGAUGAGGUCCAUCUCGACUGUGGCUUCGAUUCAAGGUGCAAAUGCAGUACCCCCUGACUGUCUGACACCGUAGUGGAAAUAAUUUGAGCAUGAAGCGUUAUAGUAUCGCCUCAUGAUCGCCGUGCAUCCACAGAACCGAUGCAACUGGCCGGUCAUUAGUCUCUUGCAUCUUGAAAGCAUAUGCUGCUGUUUGGUUCUUUCAUUUACGUUACAAAUUGUCAUGGUCAGUUAGCUACAAGAGAUAUGACUCUGGCGAUUUGAGGCGCCUGGCUCAUCUGAAAGCAAAGGAACGACUAUGUCUUCAACAAUUCUAGUUCAGCGUUUGUUGCAGAUUGCAUAAGAGGAGGUGCACCUAUGGUGCCUGGCCGCAACUAAGGAUCUGCUGUAGUUGCCCAUAGAACCUAGAGCAGGGCUUGUUUUGGUACUCAGAAUGUAAUCCGAAAUGUACUGCUCAUGAAUGUAGCGAUAGUCUGCUCAUGAACAAAAAGUGAAGUUAUUAACUUACGAUUACUACUAUCUACUAUACGUCAUGUAUUCU
This is a long non-coding RNA of Panicum virgatum (switchgrass), 1543 nucleotides long. RefSeq lists it as uncharacterized. The record is from RefSeq and is a predicted model, not a curated record. NCBI's taxonomy places the organism in Eukaryota, Viridiplantae, Streptophyta, Magnoliopsida, Poales, Poaceae. The transcript is spliced from 5 exons.